CCAAGAGGAAGGUGCCUAUGGCUGGAUUACUAUCAACUAUCUGCUGGGCAAAUUCAGUCAGAAAACAAGGUGGUUCAGCAUAGUUCCAUAUGAAACCAAUAAUCAGGAAACCUUUGGAGCUUUGGACCUUGGGGGAGCCUCUACACAAAUCACUUUUGUACCCCAAAACCAGACUAUCGAGUCCCCAGAUAAUGCUCUGCAAUUUCGCCUCUAUGGCAAGGACUACAAUGUCUACACACAUAGCUUCUUGUGCUAUGGGAAGGAUCAGGCACUCUGGCAGAAACUGGCCAAGGACAUUCAGAUGCUUUCUGCAUUUCAAAGACAAGAAAAGUUAAACACACUUUGGGAGGAUGAGGUGGGUGGAUCACUUCAGGUCAGGAGUUGGAGACCAGCCUGGCCAACAUGGUGAAACCCCAUCUCUACUAAAAAUACAAAAAAA
Molecule: small RNA, 439 nt
Filed under: Pongo abelii (Sumatran orangutan)
Lineage: Eukaryota; Metazoa; Chordata; Mammalia; Primates; Hominidae
Description: processed transcript
Source: RNAcentral